RNAcentral lists this ribosomal RNA (253 nucleotides) under uncultured bacterium. Its description in RNAcentral is "partial 16S ribosomal RNA". It matches the Rfam family "Bacterial small subunit ribosomal RNA", at positions 524 to 776 of the family's 1533-position model. The record is from RNAcentral.
UACGAAGGGGGCAAGCGUUGUUCGGAAUUACUGGGCGUAAAGGGCGCGUAGGCGGCCGAUCAAGUCAGGCGUGAAAUUCCCGGGCUCAACCUGGGGGCUGCGCUUGAUACUGAUUGGCUUGAAUGCGGGAGAGGAUAGUGGAAUUCCCAGUGUAGAGGUGAAAUUCGUAGAUAUUGGGAAGAACACCAGUGGCGAAGGCGGCUAACUGGUCCAGAUCUGACGCUGAGGUGCGAAAGCGUGGGGAGCAAACAGG